GGUGGGCGGGGCGGAAUUACAGCCAGCCAAUCGGGAGCGCCGGAGUGUUCGCUUGGCGGCCGUUUUAGCGAAUCAGCGGCCAGAACAGCUGAGCGGCCGUUUUGACUGGACAGACAUUCCACGAUGUUCCUGCUGCUGCUCCAGACGGACCAUCAGACAGACAACAGAGAAAGUUCAUGUGGAGAACAAACAGCUCAGAGGAGGAUCUCUCAUCGGAGUCCUGUGGUGGAACCUGCACACAGAGCUGCUGAUGAAUCAUCGGGAAUAAAGACAAAGACGUGAGUUAUUGAGAAGACACAACACAAAUCUUGAGCUCCAGUUCCUCCAAAGUGUCAGAUUUUCUGUUUUAUUUCACAUUAAACUGAAUCUUUGAGUCGGACUGUCAGUGGAACAGAGAACAUUUCAACAGUUUAACUUUUUACAUUUCAGAGACUAAAAGAUGGAUUUAUUAUCUAACAUUGCUCUGUAUCAAACUGAAAACAGAUGAAAUGAUGAUUUGAGUUCUUGUUCUAUAAACGUGUUAUGAUCAGCUGUUAUUAUCAAAGAGUGAAUAAUCGUUGUGGAGUCUCUGUGGCUGAGAGAAACUUAAAGCUCGUCUUCUACUCUUUAUACAUUUAAACU
Molecule: long non-coding RNA, 621 nt
Organism: Centropristis striata (black sea bass)
Lineage: Eukaryota; Metazoa; Chordata; Actinopteri; Perciformes; Serranidae
Exons: 2
Source: RefSeq, a predicted model, not a curated record